Molecule: non-coding RNA, 462 nt
Organism: Hemicordylus capensis (graceful crag lizard)
Lineage: Eukaryota; Metazoa; Chordata; Lepidosauria; Squamata; Cordylidae
Source: the annotation of a RefSeq genome assembly
UACCUUUCAGUAAAUCCCUCUGAAGGCAUUAAAAGAGAAAUGAUUUGUGGGGCCCAAGUUGCCUUCCUUUUAGCAGUCUUCCAAGGUGUGCAAUCGGCAGUCCAGCUGGUGGAGUCUGGAGGAGAUGUCAAAAGGCCCGGAGAUUCCCUCCACCUCUCCUGCCAAGCCUCUGGGUUCACCUACACCAACUAUUACAUGGGUUGGGUGAGACAGGCUCCUGGAAAGGGCCUGGAAUGGGUGGCCCUUAUACAUCCAUCCUCAAGCCCCAUCUACUACUCAGAUGCAGUGAAAGGCCGUUUCACCAUUUCCAGAGAUAAUUCCAACAGCCAGCUAUAUCUGCAAAUGAACAGCCUGAAAGCAGAGGACACCGCUGUGUAUUACUGUGCAAAAUACACAGUGACAGGAAGUGAAUCGGAAGCCAGGCAAAAACCCUCUUUUGCUUAUGAUACUCUCAGAGGCUGA